Molecule: ribosomal RNA, 402 nt
Filed under: bacterium
Lineage: Bacteria
Description: partial 16S ribosomal RNA
Rfam family: Bacterial small subunit ribosomal RNA
Source: RNAcentral
UGGGGAAUUUUGCACAAUGGGGGAAACCCUGAUGCAGCGACGCCGCGUGAUUUAGAAGGCCUUCGGGUUGUAAAAAUCUUUUCUAUGGGAAGAAAAUGACAGUACCAUAGGAAUAAGGACCGGCUAAUUACGUGCCAGCAGCCGCGGUAAUACGUAAGGUCCGAGCGUUGUCCGGAAUCAUUGGGCGUAAAGGGUACGUAGGCGGGUAAGCAAGUUAGAAGUGAAAUCCUAUAGCUCGACUAUAGUAAGCUUUUAAAACUGCUCAUCUUGAGGUAUGGAAGGGAAAGUGGAAUUCCUAGUGUAGCGGUGAAAUGCGCAGAUAUUAGGAGGAAUGCCGGUGGCGAAGGGGACUUGCUGGCCAUAACCUGACGCUGAGGUACGAAAGCGUGGGUAGCAAACAGG